This 486-nucleotide ribosomal RNA is filed under the name uncultured bacterium. RNAcentral describes it as "SSU rRNA". It matches the Rfam family "Bacterial small subunit ribosomal RNA", at positions 26 to 518 of the family's 1533-position model. The record is from RNAcentral.
AGGACGAACGCUGGCGGCGUGCUUAACACAUGCAAGUCGAGCGAGAACCAGCUGAGGGGUAACCCUCGGCUGGGGACAGCGGCGAACGGGUGCGUAACACGUGGGCAACCUGCCCCUGACACUGGGAUAACCCCGGGAAACCGGAGCUAAUACCGGAUACUCUCGGCCGAUCACAUGGCUGGCCGAGGAAAGGUCCGCCGGUCAGGGAUGGGCCCGCGGCCUAUCAGCUUGUUGGUGGGGUAACGGCCUACCAAGGCGACGACGGGUAGCUGGUCUGAGAGGACGACCAGCCACACUGGAACUGAGAUACGGUCCAGACUCCUACGGGAGGCAGCAGUGGGGAAUAUUGCACAAUGGGCGAAAGCCUGAUGCAGCGACGCCGCGUGAGGGAUGAAGGCCUUCGGGUCGUAAACCUCUUUCGGCAGGGACGAAGCGAUCAGUGACGGUACCUGCAGAGAAGCCCGGCUACUACGUGCCAGCAGCCGC